AUGAUGAGGAAGGAACAUGCCUUAGCAUUGUGUAGCAAUGAAGCACAGAUAUUCAAAUGUGCCUCUCCUGAUGCAGCAUGCUACAUAUCAAGAAAGCGUGGACAUGUUGGGUCAGCAUUUUGUGCACAUCCUGGUCAUGAAUCUGAUAGAGUUGUCCUUUCAAAGGAUGUAUCUCUCUUAGAUUUUCCGGGAAUGGGUUUGGAUGAAGCUUUAACCAUUCUACCAUCAACGUCUGCAAACAGUAACAUCGGAGCAUUAUCCACCAGGAUCAGUAAUAUGUGUACUGCAGUAUAUGAGUAUCAUGCUCCUGCUGAAAUGAUAAUUAUGGAUAGCUGUAUCCAUGAAGAUCAGGGUACUGAAAAAACCGUUUUAACUAUACAAGGACGUGUUCUAAAGGGGGUUCUCAAGAAAAAACAGCAGCUAGAAAUUCGUCCUGGAUCAUUUAGUCACGAUGACAAUGGUCAAAUCAUGUGCAAUCCGGUCAUUAUCAAUGUAGCAACUCUAGAUUCAAUUGGUGGUAAUGAUCAGUUGGAGCAAGCAGCCGCUGGUGAUAUGAUUACAGUCAGGAGUAAUAUUGAUUAUGAGCAAAUCGGUGGUAUUGUUGCAGACAUGAGUGGCUUUGUUAUUGGUCAUGUGGAUAGUUUGCCUGAUGUACUCUCAGCACUGAAGCUUAAAGUUAUUCUUCUGCCACUGAUGUUUGACUCGUACACGGAAGAUUUUAAGGAGGUCUCAAUUAUUGAGAAAGGUGAGGUACUGUUGGUGACCGUUGGAAUGUUAUCAGCAGCGGCAGAAGUACGUAAAGUCGUGGAUGAGACUACUGUUGUUGUUACUCUCAAAUCACCCAUCUGUGCAAGGAAAGAAGACAAAGUGCUUCUUCUCAGAUCUGCUAAUGUGUGUUGGCGUUUAAUAGGCCAUGGCCAAAUAGAGGAUGCUACUGUUAUCAAAAUUGGCAAAGCUAUUCAUGGUUAA
This 969-nucleotide ribosomal RNA is filed under the name Triticum aestivum (bread wheat). RNAcentral describes it as "partial small subunit ribosomal RNA". Lineage: Eukaryota; Viridiplantae; Streptophyta; Magnoliopsida; Poales; Poaceae. The record is from RNAcentral.